AACCUGCGGAGGGAUCAUUAAAGAGUUGCAAAACUCCCAAACCAUUUGUUUAUCUACCUGUUUCGUUGCUUCGGCAGGCGGCUCCUAACGGGGCCUUCGCCCUCUGGGGUGCCUGCCGGAGUAUCCAAAACUCUUGUUAAUUACUGUUUCGUCUGAGUAAACUUUUAAUAAGUUAAAACUUUCAACAACGGAUCUCUUGGUUCUGGCAUCGAUGAAGAACGCAGCGAAAUGCGAUAAGUAAUGUGAAUUGCAGAAUUCAGUGAAUCAUCGAAUCUUUGAACGCACAUUGCGCCCAUUAGUAUUCUAGUGGGCAUGCCUGUUCGAGCGUCAUUUCAACCCUCAAGCACUGCUUGGUGUUGGGGCGUCUGCAGCUCCGGCUGCAGGCCCUGAAAAAUAGUGGCGGGCUCGCUAUAACUCCGAGCGUAGUAAUCUCUCUCGCUUUGGAAGUGUGGCGGUUCCCGGCCGUUAAACCCCCCAAUUUCUGAAUGUUGACCUCGGAUCAGGUAGGAAUACCCGCUGAACUUAAGCAUAU
Molecule: ribosomal RNA, 532 nt
Filed under: fungal sp.
Lineage: Eukaryota; Fungi
Description: eukaryotic LSU rRNA
Rfam family: 5.8S ribosomal RNA (bases 177-330)
Source: RNAcentral